CAAACCAAAGCUGGCGACCGGCGCACGGGUGAGUAACACGUAUCCAACCUGCCUCAUACUCGGGGAUAGCCUUUCGAAAGAAAGAUUAAUAUCCGAUAGCAUAUAUUUCCCGCAUGGGUUUUAUAUUAAAGAAAUUCGGUAUGAGAUGGGGAUGCGUUCCAUUAGUUUGUUGGGGGGGUAACGGCCCACCAAGACUACGAUGGAUAGGGGUUCUGAGAGGAAGGUCCCCCACAUUGGAACUGAGACACGGUCUAA
RNAcentral lists this ribosomal RNA (255 nucleotides) under uncultured bacterium. Its description in RNAcentral is "partial 16S ribosomal RNA". It matches the Rfam family "Bacterial small subunit ribosomal RNA", at positions 74 to 334 of the family's 1533-position model. The record is from RNAcentral.